AUUAUCUCCAAUGGCAUGUCUCUCGCUCUCUCCUCGCCUCUCCCUACCUAAUGCAGGCGUCUUCAGGCUGGGAGCUCCAUUAAUUACCAGGCAGGGCUGUAAAAGGGAGAGAUUAUUUUACCACAACGAAAAUGAUAAAGAAUGACAGGUGCAGAGUAGCAGAGAGGAGGAUGCUGGGAGCAGGAGAACAUCAGCUUCUCCUAACAGUACAGCGCAAGACGUUUGCAUAUAUAUAUGAACUGAUAAAAUCUUGUGUGGGCUAAUAUAGCCGACAAAUCCCUGGAUUAGAAAAUUACAGACUGAGAACAGCUGCUGUCUUGCUCCUUAAUAAAUUUGAUUGGAUAUUCCACAUAAAACGUAGGGUCU
Molecule: long non-coding RNA, 366 nt
Organism: Bufo gargarizans (Asiatic toad)
Lineage: Eukaryota; Metazoa; Chordata; Amphibia; Anura; Bufonidae
Exons: 4
Source: RefSeq, a predicted model, not a curated record